CUGGACUGUGUUUCCGCAUGUUGACAGUCUAUAGGUAUUGAAAUGCUCACCUAUACUUUGGAGUGAGGGGGUGGGGGGACACCACAUUUUAUAAAAAUUGAAUAAAUGAUCGUUCGAAGCAAAAGCAUGCAGUUCAAAAGCUAAACCUCCCAUUGGAGAGCAGAAAAUUUAAUGAGCUUUUAAUGGAACGCAAGGCGCAGAGUAGUAAAUUAUUUGUUAGUUGACGAUGCAAUCAGCAUGCUGAUUAAGGUUGCUUGGUUUUUUACUAAACAUUAACUGAAUGAAAACGGGUCGUCCUUGUUCUGCUUGGGGGGCUUUAAGGAAGCAAAUGGACUUUCAGAACAGAGAUUGUCAAUAAAGGUCUCAGGAAGUUACUCGUGAAGGAAGAAGAGGAGGCAGCCCUUACUGAACGCCUGUCUGGAGCUCUGGGUGUGUCCUCUGAGAAGUUGCCCAUGAGACCAAAUGCCCCGGAGGGUAACACGGAUCCUGAGUGAAGAUUGUCGCAACUGAGUAUGGAUGUGCUGAUCUCCAGGCUCCUGGAUGUGGAGCCGUUCAUCUCUCCUCGAGAGCUGGAUGGAGGCCCAGGCUGCCUUGCAGCAUUGAGUGAUGCCAUGCCAAUUCCAGGCAAGGUCUUUAUUGCUGGAACCACUGUGUAAUGACAGCUUUAUUCAUGUGAAAACGCAGAAUGCAUUUCGACUGUAUGAAAUUGUUUAUGUUCAUCAGAAAUGUUAUUUGUCUUCACAAAGUCUGGUUUCAAUGAACCAGCUACGUAAUGGAUAUUAAAUAAACAUGGAAUUUUACAUGUUUAUAAUAUUUGGUUUCUUGUUGUGAUUUUGAUGAACA
This is a long non-coding RNA of Peromyscus leucopus (white-footed mouse), 843 nucleotides long. RefSeq lists it as uncharacterized. The record is from RefSeq and is a predicted model, not a curated record. The transcript is spliced from 3 exons. Lineage: Eukaryota; Metazoa; Chordata; Mammalia; Rodentia; Cricetidae.